AGACCCGAAACCCGGUGAUCUAGCCAUGGGCAGGUUGAAGGUUGGGUAACACUAACUGGAGGACCGAACCGACUAAUGUUGAAAAAUUAGCGGAUGACCUGUGGCUGGGGGUGAAAGGCCAAUCAAACCGGGAGAUAGCUGGUUCUCCCCGAAAGCUAUUUAGGUAGCGCCUCGUGAAUUCAUCUCCGGGGGUAGAGCACUGUUUCGGCUAGGGGGCCAUCCCGGCUUACCAACCCGAUGCAAACUGCGAAUACCGGAGAAUGUUAUCACGGGAGACACACGGCGGGUGCUAACGUCCGUCGUGAAGAGGGAAACAACCCAGACCGCCAGCUAAGGUCCCAAAGUCAUGGUUAAGUGGGAAACGAUGUGGGAAGGCCCAGACAGCCAGGAUGUUGGCUUAGAAGCAGCCAUCAUUUAAAGAAAGCGUAAUAGCUCACUGGUCGAGUCGGCCUGCGCGGAAGAUGUAACGGGGCUAAACCAUGCACCGAAGCUGCGGCAGCGACACUCAGGUGUUGUUGGGUAGGGGAGCGUUCUGUAAGCCUGCGAAGGUGGCCUGUGAGGGUUGCUGGAGGUAUCAGAAGUGCGAAUGCUGACAUAAGUAACGAUAAAGCGGGUGAAAAGCCCGCUCGCCGGAAGACCAAGGGUUCCUGUCCAACGUUAAUCGGGGCAGGGUGAGUCGACCCCUAAGGCGAGGCCGAAAGGCGUAGUCGAUGGGAAACGGGUUAAUAUUCCCGUACUUGGUGUUACUGCGAAGGGGGGACGGAGAAGGCUAUGUUGGCCGGGCGACGGUUGUCCCGGUUUAAGCGUGUAGGUGUGUGUUCCAGGUAAAUCCGGUUCACUUUAACACUGAGGCGUGAUGACGAGGCACUACGGUGCUGAAGCAACAAAUGCCCUGCUUCCAGGAAAAGCCUCUAAGCAUCAGGUAACAUCAAAUCGUACCCCAAACCGACACAGGUGGUCAGGUAGAGAAUACCAAGGCGCUUGAGAGAACUCGGGUGAAGGAACUAGGCAAAAUGGUGCCG
RNAcentral lists this ribosomal RNA (1022 nucleotides) under Salmonella enterica subsp. enterica serovar Infantis. Its description in RNAcentral is "partial 23S ribosomal RNA". It matches the Rfam family "Bacterial large subunit ribosomal RNA", at positions 711 to 1730 of the family's 2925-position model. The record is from RNAcentral. Lineage: Bacteria; Pseudomonadati; Pseudomonadota; Gammaproteobacteria; Enterobacterales; Enterobacteriaceae.